UUUUCCAACAUUUUCUGUUUUUGACUCUCAAUACCUUCCUGGGACUUUGGAGACUAGCAGUAUAAACACUGUAAGCUUGAUGCUGCUGCCAUUGUGUAUAGUAAUCAGAAGAACAAUUCCUGACAAAUUUUCUUCUCUUCACUCCUGAAACCCCAUCCACCUCCACCUCACAGAGAGCUGUGUUCAAUUACAGGACCUCUACUCCUACCCCGACUUCAGGUCAACUAACUCAGCACAGAUUAAGGAUGGAGCCUGAGAUUUUCCCAGUCUGUUCCUGAUGGUGAUAAAUUUACUUUGACCUCACAAUCCUAGGAACUUGUUGGGGAGUUAGCGCCUGCUCACUAACCAGUUACCACCCAGAUUAAUCUGACUACAAAUGGAGCACUGGAUGAAAUUUCUUCGAUGACUUGUAAAUGAGGGAAACAAGCUACCUCUGGGGCCUUUAAGAACAGCAAUUUCAUGUCCUAGCAUGGAUUUUAAUGCUAAGUCUAUCAGCAAGAGCCCAGCGUAGUGAAGAUACUGAAGGAGUAUGGCAACUUGGACAGCAAUCUCAGCAUUUCCACAUUUAACUGCACAUGUACAGACUCCAGAAGUCCUUACUCAAUUUACUCCAAAAUACAGUGCAAUUGUUGGUGGCACUAAGAUCCCAGAGAGAGAGUGUAGAAUAUUGUACAAGGCUGAAGGACGAAUUUGCUGUUUGUUAAGUCCCUGGCUGUUGCUGUCUGGUGGACCACCGCUCUCAGGGACAGCAUGUCUCACCUGUCACCCCAAUAGCCAGGGGCUAAGAAAGAAACCAUCAUGAAAGAGAUCAGAAAAAUUAAUCACUGAGAAAAUUCAAGAGCUCAAUAAGACACUGAAAUCCAUGGCGAAUCAUCUAAAUAAUAUUUAAGUAUGAAUUUGUAUUUCCUAGA
Molecule: long non-coding RNA, 911 nt
Organism: Carcharodon carcharias (great white shark)
Lineage: Eukaryota; Metazoa; Chordata; Chondrichthyes; Lamniformes; Lamnidae
Exons: 6
Source: RefSeq, a predicted model, not a curated record